CAGAGGGUGUAUGAGAUGUAAAUAUUGUCUUUGCACCAUCUGGGUUUGUUUCAGUUUGACUGCGUGUUUCCCUCAGUCCUGCUCUCAUUAGGAGCACAACAACAGAGCAGUCACACAGAUGUUCACGGUCCCCAGAGGAUGAAUCCUACUGACUUUGGUGAACCUGUGACCUUUCCUCUUGACAAUAAUGAGGUCAACAUUUACUGGUUGGAUCGACUGGCUUUUCCUGCAGAGCGGCCAAUCCAGCGAGCGAGCGGGGGAAUCGAUGCCCUGAUACGAGAUUCAGCCUAAUGAGGAUCAGAAACAUCUUAAUAAAGACCCAUAAUCCACCACUUAAUCCCUCAUUACAGAAUCAUCUACAUUCACUGGUCCUGCCUCCAUACCGCCGCACUGACGGCACAUUCUGGUCCAUUGUUCUGCCUCGCCUCAUCUCUCACCGAGGGCUACGUCUCCCUUUGUCUCCCCUCGGUGUCAGUUAUAUUUGAUCCGCUCUCAUUAGACUUUCAGACGAGAUGAGCAGAAGGGCCUGAAAAUAGUGCUUUUGUGUGCACUUCUAUGCUAUCUCCUGUCUGAAAUGGAAAGUGAGACAUAUGCUUAAUGAGGAGGGGAUGGCCUGGGACCUGCAGUCCGACAGAGAGAUAGGGAGUGUAUUGUGCUGCGACAGAUACUGUUAAAGGACACACUUUCCAGGCAUCGUCUGUGUCAGUGAUUAUGACUUCUGAGAGAGUGAAAAUUGCUCUGAAGUGGGACAGAUGGAUUAAAGUUUAAUGCUGAGCCCUGGAGAGGUUCUGCGGCUGUGUUUUAGUUUUGUGCAGCAUUAACAGAAAAGUUGGUAAAGUUUUAGCCCAGUUAAACAAAAGUAUUUUCAAGUAUAUUUUCUGAAAGUAUUCUUACAGUACAUCCUCGAUGGUCCAGGGAUUCAUCAGCCUUCUUGUCAUAAACAUUUCUACCUUCUGAGCUACUGUAAGAUACCUACCACCGGGUGCUUGACAGUUAUCACCACUGUUGGAGGAAGUAUUCAGUUCCUUUACUUCAAUUAAGGUCCAUUCUCACACACCUUGAUGUUUCCUGGUCUGCUGGUGUGCUCUGUCCUGACACGCUUGUCCUCUCGUCUCCUGCUGGCAACCACCUGGGCUUCUUCACUCUCAAC
Molecule: long non-coding RNA, 1150 nt
Organism: Seriola aureovittata
Lineage: Eukaryota; Metazoa; Chordata; Actinopteri; Carangiformes; Carangidae
Exons: 4
Source: RefSeq, a predicted model, not a curated record